RNAcentral lists this ribosomal RNA (506 nucleotides) under uncultured bacterium. Its description in RNAcentral is "partial 16S ribosomal RNA". It matches the Rfam family "Bacterial small subunit ribosomal RNA", at positions 28 to 523 of the family's 1533-position model. The record is from RNAcentral.
GAUGAGCGCUAGCUACAGGCUUAACACAUGCAAGUCGAGGGGUAACGAGAGGGAAGCUUGCUUUCCUUGUCGACGACCGGCGCACGGGUGAGUAACGCGUAUCCAACCUGCCCCCAACUAGGGAAUAACCUUGCGAAAGUAAGACUAAUACCCUAUAAUUUCCUCAGAUGUCAUCUGACGAGGAAUAAAGAUUUAUCGGUUGUGGAUGGGGAUGCGUCUGAUUAGCUUGUUGGCGGGGUAACGGCCCACCAAGGCAACGAUCAGUAGGGGUUCGGAGAGGAAGGUACCCCACAUUGGAACUGAGACACGGUCCAAACUCCUACGGGAGGCAGCAGUGAGGAAUAUUGGUCAAUGGGCGGAAGCCUGAACCAGCCAAGUAGCGUGCAGGAUGACGGCCCUAUGGGUUGUAAACUGCUUUUAUACAGGAAUAAAGUUAGCCACGUGUGGUUAUUUGUAGGUACUGUAUGAAUAAGGACCGGCUAAUUCCGUGCCAGCCGCCGCCGUAA